RNAcentral lists this ribosomal RNA (253 nucleotides) under uncultured bacterium. RNAcentral's name for it is "partial 16S ribosomal RNA". It matches the Rfam family "Bacterial small subunit ribosomal RNA", at positions 524 to 776 of the family's 1533-position model. The record is from RNAcentral.
GACGUAGGGCGCGAGCGUUGUCCGGAUUUAUUGGGCGUAAAGAGCUCGUAGGCGGCUUGUCGCGUCGUCCGUGAAAACCUGCAGCUCAACUGCAGGCUUGCGGUCGAUACGGGCAGACUAGAGGUAGGUAGGGGAGAAUGGAAUUCCCGGUGUAGCGGUGAAAUGCGCAGAUAUCGGGAGGAACACCGGUGGCGAAGGCGGUUCUCUGGGCCUUACCUGACGCUGAGGAGCGAAAGCGUGGGGAGCGAACAGG